Molecule: ribosomal RNA, 489 nt
Filed under: uncultured bacterium
Lineage: Bacteria
Description: bacterial SSU rRNA
Rfam family: Bacterial small subunit ribosomal RNA
Source: RNAcentral
GACGAACGCUGGCGGCGUGCUUAACACAUGCAAGUCGAGCGGAAAGGCCCUUUCGGGGGUACUCGAGCGGCGAACGGGUGAGUAACACGUGAGUAAUCUGCCCUUGGCUCCUGGAUAGCCCUCCGAAAGGGGGAUUAAUACGGGAUAUGACUGCGCAUCGCAUGGUGUGUGGUGGAAAGUUUUUUCGGCCAGGGAUGUGCUCGCGGCCUAUCAGCUUGAUGGUGGGGUAAUGGCCUACCAUGGCUUCGACGGGUAGCCGGCCUGAGAGGGUGACCGGCCACACUGGGACUGAGACACGGCCCAGACUCCUACGGGAGGCAGCAGUGGGGAAUAUUGGACAAUGGGCGGAAGCCUGAUCCAGCAACGCCGCGUGAGGGAUGACGGCCUUCGGGUUGUAAACCUCUUUCAGCACAGACGAAGCUCACUUGUGGGUGACGGUAUGUGCAGAAGAAGCACCGGCCAACUACGUGCCAGCCGCCGCCGUAACAC